GGAAAGGAGCCUCAAUAACACCAUUGAACCAUUAAUGGAAAUGGUAAAGAAUUAAUUUACAAACUACAAUCUUCUCAUUUUAUAUUUUAUUUGAAUCAUUCCUCCAUUUUAUGCAAAGAUAAUACACAAAUUCUUUGCGUACUGAUAAUAAGAUUGCUCAUGCCACCAGAAUUUGAUAUGCUGAAGAUCCAAAGGAAUGCUUAUUUAUCAUCAAUGUAAAGGACUGUUAUUGACAGUCAAUUUUAGUAUAAAGUCUGGACUUCAGUAACAAUGCAAUUUAGCAUGCUUUUGGAUGAUAAGAUAUUUCAAAACAGAGUUGAUAGUGUUAUAAAUAUAAAUUAGCUAAGGUAUAUCAAAUUUGUAUAGCAUUUGACUUGGUUGUCCUAACAUUCUUUUACUGUCUUAUCCAGAAAACUGAAGAAACAGGGGAGACCAGUGUUCAUAUUCAUGAACUCAAAUAAUGCUUAUGUUCCGUGUGACUGGUGACACAGAUUGAAUUCAUAUUUUUUCAAUUGAAGGUAGAUGGUGAGAUGGCAUUAUGGUACCAUUUGAUUCUCUUAUAGCUGAAGUUGUUUUUCGUUCGUGCAUAAUAACUAGUAAGUAUCCUCACACUGCUAAGUUAUUCAGAAAUGAGAAGUCAACUAUCCAUUUUGUGGAGCUUUAAAUCUGUGCACAACUUACUUUAUAAAUAUUCAUUUUCCUAUGUAUUUUAAA
Molecule: unclassified non-coding RNA, 714 nt
Filed under: Hevea brasiliensis (rubber tree)
Lineage: Eukaryota; Viridiplantae; Streptophyta; Magnoliopsida; Malpighiales; Euphorbiaceae
Source: RNAcentral